UUAUACAAUGAAGAGUUUGAUCCUGGCUCAGGAUGAACGCUAGCUACAGGCCUAACACAUGCAAGU
This 66-nucleotide ribosomal RNA is filed under the name Bacteroides sp. An322. RNAcentral's name for it is "partial 16S ribosomal RNA". The record is from RNAcentral. Lineage: Bacteria; Pseudomonadati; Bacteroidota; Bacteroidia; Bacteroidales; Bacteroidaceae.